CCAUUUAAAAUUGGCAUGUAAUCUGAUAUACAUUACCUUCUAAUAUUACAUAUGGAAUUUUAAAAUGAAUUAUUACAAAUUAAUAAAAAGUAAAACUAAAAGGAUAGGUUUUCGUUUUUCUGUUUUGCCUCCAUGCUUCUUUCAUUUGUCUCCAAGCUUCUUUCAUUUGUCUCAGUGUUAAAAAACCUAGGGUUUUAGGAAGAAGAGCGAGGAGUGUGACGACGACACCAUCCAUCUCUACGACCUCUCCACCGCCUCCUCCCUCAGUUCCCUUCACCAACACUCUGCCUUUGUCACCGCCUUCUCCUUCUACGCCCCUACCAAUCUUUCGUUCCCCCGCAACCUCAUCUCCGCCAACGUCGCUGGCUCUCUCACCAUUUUUUACGCGGACGGCUUCGUCCAUCUUACUACGCUUUUCUUCCACUACCACGGCGCUAUCAACGACCUUGCCCUGAACCGUUCGGUGAGUGCGCCCUCACCGUUGCUUGUGACAACUGCCUCGCCAUCAUCAACCUCGUCCGCGGUCGCCGCAACUGCUUCUUGCGCCUCGACAAGGAAGCUACUCUGGUCAAGUUUAAUGUGUCCGGCGACCACUUUUUUAUGCAAAGAAGAAGGUUUCUGUCCACCACUUUUUGUUAAGCUUUAUGGGAUUCUUGUGAUGCAUCUUUAGGAGAUCUUCAUUGUGCUACCGGUGUUGCGUUUAGGGGGUGUUGCAUUUAGGGAAGAUUCAGAGGGCUUUUAAGGUAUGUUUUGUUUUAUGUGUUUGGUGAUUGAGAAUAUUAUUGAAUGAGUCGCAAAUGCAAGAUCACAGGUACAAAAUGGUAGAGCAAAAUCUUAUCAGUGAGAAGGUGUUUUCCUUUUUGUUGAAUGGGUAUCCAAAUGCGAAAAAAGGUGGUGAAAUGGUUUUCGGUGGUGUUAACCUAAAGCACUUUAAAGGAGACCACACUUAUAUUCCAGUUACUAAAAAAGGUUACUGAUUGAAAUUGGAGAGUUUUUCAUUGGAGGUGCUUCUACAGGUGUUUGUGAGGGUGGUUGUGCUGCUAUUGUGGAUUCAGGAACAUCUUUGCUUGCUGGUCCAACCUUAUGUGCUUCGAUACUGGAAAAUUAUUCAAAAAUUGAAGAGGCUAAAAUAGAGGAGCUCAUGAAGGCAGUAGCAGAUUCUAGUGCCAAAGUGAUUGUUAAUGGAGGAGUAGUUGGAGAGAUGGCUUUGCAUUUCUGUGACCGUUAAGAGCUUAUGGUUCUGAAAAUCAGCUCAAAGUUUGAACUAUGACGAUUUUGCAGAACAACUGAUUCUGUUGCUAUGUUGAAACUCAGCCAACCGAAUGCAAAUGAUCUUGGAUAUGUGGAUUCUGUUUCAGUUCAGGAAAUUGGUGGUGUCAGGGUAUGUUCAAACCGGAAUGAGCUCUGUUGUCUUCUUUGUUCCACGUUUCUUGUUUAUACUAGUAAAAGAAAAUAUGUUAUGCACGAGAAAAUACACUGGUUUAUUCCAACUAUGGUGUGCACUUAAUUGAUUGGAGGCAUUUCUUUUAAAAGCAAUUUAAUGCUUAAGCUAAUUGAAAUAUGGAUUAAUUGUUUGGAGGCACAAGCAGAAGCCAUUAACCCUUGAUUCACUUUAAAAUAGUUGUUCAUUAUGAUGUUCACUUUAAAUAUUCAUUAAAGUAUUACUAAGAUUUGAUAUUAAAGAGCAUGUUUUCGAAUACAUGUCUAAUCAAAGUAGAGUAUUAUUUGGAUUGAUGUAUUCCGUGAUUUGGUUUAUAGAUUCGUUUGCCAUAGGAGUUUAUAGAUUCAUUUGACUUGGCGUGGAGAUGGAAACAGCAGCAAUGGCAGAGGAGGCACAAGCAGAAGCCAUUAACCCUUGAUUCAAAAUAUAAAUUUUUUGUUCAGUGAGUGACUAUCUUUGCUUCUGUGUAUAUGUUUGAUGAUUAAUGGCAAAGAAA
Vigna angularis (adzuki bean) is the source of this 1937-nucleotide long non-coding RNA. RefSeq lists it as uncharacterized. The transcript has 6 exons. NCBI's taxonomy places the organism in Eukaryota, Viridiplantae, Streptophyta, Magnoliopsida, Fabales, Fabaceae. The record is from RefSeq and is a predicted model, not a curated record.